AAUAUAUUGACUAAUCUAACUAAAGACUACUGAUUUCGGCUCAGUAAAUCCCAAAAAUAUUUGGGGUCAAUAU
RNAcentral lists this transfer RNA (73 nucleotides) under Tarentola mauritanica (Moorish gecko). RNAcentral describes it as "tRNA-Arg". The record is from RNAcentral. Lineage: Eukaryota; Metazoa; Chordata; Lepidosauria; Squamata; Phyllodactylidae.